AUUGAACGCUGGCGGCAGGCCUAACACAUGCAAGUCGAGCGGAUGAAGGGAGCUUGCUCCUGGAUUCAGCGGCGGACGGGUGAGUAAUGCCUAGGAAUCUGCCUGGUAGUGGGGGAUAACGUCCGGAAACGGGCGCUAAUACCGCAUACGUCCUGAGGGAGAAAGUGGGGGAUCUUCGGACCUCACGCUAUCAGAUGAGCCUAGGCCGGAUUAGCUAGUUGGUGGGGUAAAGGCCUACCAAGGCGACGAUCCGUAACUGGUCUGAGAGGAUGAUCAGUCACACUGGAACUGAGACACGGUCCAGACUCCUACGGGUGGCAGCAGUGGGGAAUAUUGGACAAUGGGCGAAAGCCUGAUCCAGCCAUGCCGCGUGUGUGAAGAAGGUCUUCGGAUUGUAAAGCACUUUAAGUUGGGAGGAAGGGCAGUAAGUUAAUACCUUGCUGUUUUGACGUUACCAACAGAAUAAGCACCGGCUAACUUCGUG
RNAcentral lists this ribosomal RNA (484 nucleotides) under uncultured bacterium. RNAcentral describes it as "partial 16S ribosomal RNA". It matches the Rfam family "Bacterial small subunit ribosomal RNA", at positions 30 to 507 of the family's 1533-position model. The record is from RNAcentral.